UACGGGGGGGGCAAGCGUUGUUCGGAAUUACUGGGCGUAAAGGGCUCGUAGGCGGCCAACUAAGUCAGACGUGAAAUCCCUCGGCUAAACCGGGGAACUGCGUCUGAUACUGGAUGGCUUGAGUUCGGGAGAGGGAUGCGGAAUUCCAGGUGUAGCGGUGAAAUGCGUAGAUAUCUGGAGGAACACCGGUGGCGAAGGCGGCAUCCUGGACCGAUACUGACGCUGAGGAGCGAAAGCGUGGGUAGCAAACAGG
Molecule: ribosomal RNA, 253 nt
Filed under: uncultured bacterium
Lineage: Bacteria
Description: partial 16S ribosomal RNA
Rfam family: Bacterial small subunit ribosomal RNA
Source: RNAcentral